UAGGGAAUCUUCCACAAUGGACGAAAGUCUGAUGGAGCAACGCCGCGUGAGUGAAGAAGGGUUUCGGCUCGUAAAACUCUGUUGUUAAAGAAGAACAUAUCUGAGAGUAACUGUUCAGGUAUUGACGGUAUUUAACCAGAAAGCCACGGCUAAAUACGUGCUAG
RNAcentral lists this ribosomal RNA (164 nucleotides) under uncultured bacterium. RNAcentral describes it as "partial 16S ribosomal RNA". It matches the Rfam family "Bacterial small subunit ribosomal RNA", at positions 355 to 511 of the family's 1533-position model. The record is from RNAcentral.